RNAcentral lists this ribosomal RNA (253 nucleotides) under uncultured bacterium. Its description in RNAcentral is "partial 16S ribosomal RNA". It matches the Rfam family "Bacterial small subunit ribosomal RNA", at positions 524 to 776 of the family's 1533-position model. The record is from RNAcentral.
UACGUAGGUGGCAAGCGUUGUCCGGAAUCAUUGGGCGUAAAGCGCACGUAGGCGGCGGCGUAAGCGGGAUGUGAAAGCCCAGGGCUCAACCCUGGAAGUGCAUCCCGAACUGUGUCGCUUGAAUCUCGGAGGGGGACAGAGAAUUCCCGGUGUAGAGGUGAAAUUCGUAGAUAUCGGGAGGAAUACCAGUGGCGAAGGCGCUGUCCUGGACGAAGAUUGACGCUGAGGUGCGAAAGCGUGGGGAGCAAACAGG